AAUAUGCUUGUGUAGAAUUUUAACAAGGAAAGCUUGGUUGCACAGAAGGGAUUCAUUGGGUGGGAUUUUGAUAUGUGCUUCAGGAAAUUAACCAUUCUCAAGACAAAAACCUUGCUGUGACUCUCUGAAUACAUGAUAUUACUCAUUAUUUCAAAGACAUCAGCCACGUAAAAAUUACUUGCUGUUACUAUAAAGAAUUUUUAAGACUAAUUUUAUUGAAUGGUAGCCUGUUUUUCUCUGAAGUUUAUAACACUCCAGUCAUAUCAAGGAAUGUGUAUGCAAGAGCUCACAAGGCCCAUACAUCCCUCUGGGGUUUUUGAGGGGCACAUGGAGGUCACCAGCCAAAGGCAGCAAUCCAUUUCCUCCACACCAGCAUGGUGGAGGAACUGGGACAGGAGGUGUAAGGUCCUGGCAGGUCCAGUGCAAUGUCACAGUAGGAGAGUGCCAGCUGGAACCCCACUUUGUGCUGGGUGUGAUGCGGGGGUUACCAGGAUUCAAAAGAAUUCAGGAAGAGCUGGGAACAAUGGUGAGUUAUCCAGGGAGCUGUGUAUCUUCUGCGCUGACCUGUUGGAAACACUGCAGCUGCUUGGCAUUUUAGAAGGUUCAGAAAAGAUCCACUGAAGCAGAGGGAAUUUGCUCAAGGUCAUUGUUUCCUGGCGAAUGUUGUGCCUUAAUGGCAUUCAGGGCAGCACUGGUGGGAAGGAGCAAAUGAGCCCAGCUGGGACCACCAGCUCUGAGGGUUUUGGGCCCCCACAGCGAAGCCUGGAUCAGCUCAAAACACCUGUCAAGGACAUACCUGAAGAGAGAGAAGUUUAAGUAGUGCUGGCAGACAAGAAACCUGCUUCCCAGCCUGUCUCCUCCGUUGCCUGAAUAUCAGGGGUAUAAGGAAAUGUUUGCUGACUACAGCACGUCCAAAUGUGAAUUACAACAGAACUGUAAGGGUCUGGGUCCCAGGAACUCAGAAACCAAAUCUUUCCUUUACCAUCCAAGUGAUGUGCCAAAGAGAUGUGACACUGGCAGGAGUGUCUCUGGAAGACCAGCAGAGCCAGGGACUCUGCACUGCACUGGCAAGGUCAACAUUGCCAAGAACCCUGACUUAACUCCCUCCUCCACCUGUGUCCUCUGCACAGAUACCCCACCUGUAUUACAGAAAAAAAAAGGAAAAUCUAAAGACCGAAGAUGCGUGUUCCUCACCAAACUUUUGAGAAUGGACAUAAGUGAUGUGACAGGUCAGCAGGUGAGAUGAAAGGCUUUUUAAUAGUACUGACUCUUGCUAACUUAAGACCAAAGUCCAGGCUGACAGAGUAUGAAGUUUUUCUCCAGUCUCCAGUGCACCAGAAACUGAAGAUGCUGUUUUCUCUUUGUCUAGUAUGCUGUAUGUGUGGAUUCUGGUGAGGGUAUCGCAUGGGGUUUUUAAGAACCAAUUCUGGUCCUUCCUUUCAUCUUAGGUUUCAGUUCAUCAGGUUUGAGAAAUGUGUAUUAAAAAAAAAAAAUUUUUUUUUCCCCCUGAAGUCAGGGGGCAAAAAUGGAGUAUGUUAUCUUCAGAGCAGGACAGUGAUGGAUUAGAAAUCCAGCACGAACCAGUAGUCCUGUGAGCUGCAAAUCUGAUAGGGCUUUGUUUCCCUUGGGCAAAUCUUUGGAUUCUCCUAGGUCUACAUAGCUGAAAGCUCUGGCUGCAGCUUUUCCUGUGGGUGGGUAUUCAUAACAUCUUUCAUCAUUGCAGCUUUCUUGGUGUUUAAUAAGGGUUUAACUCAAGUUGCAGUGGGUCUCCUUUUUCUUAGCAGCCUGUUCUUAUGAAAUGUAUAGGAAUGUAGCAUUUUCAGCAUUUUAUUGCUCUGUCAGAUGUGGUUAAAAUUGGCUACUGUUUGUUCUUGUUCCCUUUCUCUUGCACAACACACAAGUAUGUACAAGCACGUAUGUGUGCACACAUGCGGACGCACACAGAGAUUUAUUAUACAUAUGAAGAGAUAAUGAUCUCAAACCCCUUUUAAUUUCUGUAGGAAUCCAGGCUAGGUAAGAAAGUAUUGGAAUGCUAUUUCUUUGGGAGAGGAAAAGGAGGAUGAACUAAUUUUUUUCUAUGCAGCAGACAGAAUAUUAAAUUACUGCUUUGUUUAAACGUAA
Long non-coding RNA from Pseudopipra pipra, 2121 nucleotides. RefSeq lists it as uncharacterized. The transcript has 4 exons. The record is from RefSeq and is a predicted model, not a curated record. Lineage: Eukaryota; Metazoa; Chordata; Aves; Passeriformes; Pipridae.